GCUGGGCAUGGUGGCACAUGCCUGUAUUUCCGGCUACUUGGGAGGCUGAUGCCGGAGGAUCACUUGAGCCCAGGAGUUUGAGGCUGCAGUGAGCUAGGAUCACACCACUGCACUUUAGCCUGGGCAACAGAGUGAGACCCCUUCUCUU
RNAcentral lists this small RNA (148 nucleotides) under Pongo abelii (Sumatran orangutan). RNAcentral's name for it is "Metazoan signal recognition particle RNA (ENSPPYG00000039318.1)". The record is from Rfam by way of RNAcentral. Lineage: Eukaryota; Metazoa; Chordata; Mammalia; Primates; Hominidae.